This is a non-coding RNA of Manis javanica (Malayan pangolin), 1689 nucleotides long. Lineage: Eukaryota; Metazoa; Chordata; Mammalia; Pholidota; Manidae. The record is from RefSeq and is a predicted model, not a curated record.
UGGGACCCGGCAGGCACCUGAAGUGGGCGCAGACCUGGGGGGCUGAGCGCCGUCUGUUUGGAGUAGGCAGCGCUCCCUGGGGUCCUUUUUAUACUGAGGUUAAGUAUUCAAUCAGUCAGGUUUUCAUCCACGUCGGUUAUUUGUCUACUGAACCCUGCCAAAAACGCUCUUGGGCAGAAGGCAAAAUAAUGAAAUCGUGGCGCUAGCGUCUCAGGUCUGGGAGAUGAUCAGACUGGAUCCAGGGGACAGUCACGGUCACGAAGAACUGGACAGCAUGGAGGACUUUUCCACCCACACCAUUUUGAAAGGGGAAAAAUAUUCUCUUUGUGGACACUGAUCAAAUCAUGCUGUGUUUCUGGGUCAAGGAGGGAGAAGCCCACGCCAUGGGGCCGACCGCGCGGCUUCCUCGCAGAGGCCCGAUGACCCGGGGGACGGAAGGGGGAUCCCGGCAAAGGCCGUCCCGCGUGACCCCUUGGGAACGUCCCCUGCUCUGGUCAAACGGCGGCUUCCCCGCAGAAACGAGCCCCAAGAAUUACCCUUGUAAUCAUUAAAGCAGCUGUAAUGACAUGAAAUGUCUUCUGAUUGUCAUUUUUGCUUUUUUCUUGGCCUGAGUCUCAUCCUGGGGCCGGGAAGGAACCCUCGGCAGCAGCAUUUCCUGGUCGUGGAAGCUGCAGGUGGUGAGAUUUUACCGUCUAGUGAUUCCACACCCCGAUUCCACAUAAAAUCCUGUGGCAGCCGCAACCACACCUCUGCGAAGGGGAGCCCGGCUCACAGGCCGCGCCGACCCAAGCGGCCCCGCGGUCGGGAGCACAGAACACGGCUGCUGAGCCCCACUGGCCCCCUGCGCCGGGGUCGGCACUCAGGAGAAACAAUGUUGAUGCUCUGUGAAGUUGAAUGACUUGCACAAGCUUUCCUUAGAAAAGCCUCAGCCUGGAUCGCAGAUGUCCCGACUCCCUGGACCACAUUCUUCCCACCACAUCACAGCUGAGCGUUUGUACGACGAAGGAUCUGCCGGGCUGCCCCGGACCUGGCCACCGCACCAUUUUCUCCAACUGCGCCUCAUCCCCGGGGCAAAGGCGAGUGUGAGAUUCAAAAUAUCACGCCCAGCACAGAUGUCCAGGGGCUCCCUGCCUAUGUGUUCUUCUAGGAGUUUGGUUCCAGGCUUUACACUCAAGUCUUUAAUCCAUUUAUGGUAAGGUAGUGGUCUCCCACAUUCUUUUGCAUGUGGCUGUCUAGUUUUCCCAGCACUAUUUGUUGAAGAGACUGUCCUUUUUCCACUGUAUAUUCUUGGAUCCUCUGCCAUAAAUCAAUUGACCACACAUAGGUGGGCUUAUUUCUGGUCUCUUCUGUUCCAUCGAUCUGUGUAUCUUUUUUUGUGCCAAUACCAUACUGUUUUGAUCACUAUGGUCUUAUACUGUAGUUUGGAAUCAGGAAGCAUGGUGCCUCCAGCUUUAUUCUCCUGUCUCGAAUUGUUUUGGUUGUUCAGGUUUCCCUUUCCAGAAGUACGCACAGGAACAGAUUUGUUAUUAUGACCCAUCUGGACUGUGAUGGACAAUUUUUUCUUUCCAGAAAAAGCCUCUCAAGAGGAUUGGUUGUCUUUAGUUUCAGCUACUUUGGCCCCUUUUCAUGCAUUUUUAUGGCUACGUCAAUGGGAAGUUGGAAAGUCUUGCAUCCCAAAAUUGAAAAUAA